This is a long non-coding RNA of Hyaena hyaena (striped hyena), 2887 nucleotides long. RefSeq lists it as uncharacterized. NCBI's taxonomy places the organism in Eukaryota, Metazoa, Chordata, Mammalia, Carnivora, Hyaenidae. The record is from RefSeq and is a predicted model, not a curated record. The transcript is spliced from 4 exons.
GGCCACCAUUUUACCUGCAUUUCUGAAUCCACAGAUUAUGGCACAGAUAUAAUCAUUAGUGGCGAAAACACUUUGGAUAGAGUUAAAUGUUAUAAAUGCUUUAGAAAGGAAAAUCUUAUAAUCCUCUCUUUGCUGUAAAUUUAACAACUUGUCAGGUCAUUAGGAGCACUUCAAAAGAUGUAUUGAUCUUAUCUUUAGAAAUGGAAAACACAAUGCAAGAAGAAAAAUGAUUGAUGCUAGUAUCUGAAGCUGAAAUCCACAUAAUCUUCCUCUUAAGGCAAAGGGAAAUUUGUACUGCACAAGUUUUAGGGUGGUCAAGCACCUGUAAAAACAGCUGAGUGUAGGUCAACACAAAGAAAGAAGAGUAAAAGACAAAAGGUGAAUGGGCCCAUGAGAUAAGGAGUUGACAAUGAUUAAUGAAUGAGAUGCUGGAAGAAAUAUUUUGAGAUUGAAGGUGAUAUUGCAUUGCAUAAAGAUUUAGAGUUAGAAAUCCCAGCUUUGGGGGAAAUUAUUUACCACCUAUUUUUGAGGGUUUUUUUUCUUUUGUUUUCUUUGUGUGUGUGUGUGUGUGUGUGUUAGUAUAAAAUAGAAGGAAUAGGUUUGUUGCAGUGAUUAUACAGAUAAUGAUUUAGCAUCAUGGUUUUUUCUAGGUUUAGGGGUGGCACAGUUGAGAGGAUUGGUCUCAAACUCAUGGAUGGGCCAAUGGAAAGGUUGACGUUCUGGAGCAUUUUUCUGUGCUAGCAGCAGGAAAUAAGUUAUUGUAGCCUUCGAUGUAAUCAACACUGAUAAGCACGAAGACCUAGGGACCUAAGAGUGCCAGUCACUCACGAACAUUCCAGAAGGAAGGAUUUCUGCUGAGAGGGAGAUUUGAUGAAGAGAAAUAUCUCUGAGCAUAUACAGGAGGACAUCUUCCCAAUUUAAGAAAAUUUACUAUAGCUGUAGGGACAGUGGUUAAAUCGUGCUAAGUGACACUUUAAAAUUGGGCUGCAUAUUUGGAAAAGCUGUUGUGACAGAGAUAGCACAGCCUUGCCAUUAGUGUCCUGGUCUCCUUUUUCCCUGGGUUAUGUUUUUAGAAAGUGAACUGACAUCCAUAAUUAGAUACAGUCCUGGAGAUACAUGCGGUUGAAGCCACGUGAGUACAUGAACACCAAAAUCCCAGGUACUUCCGGUGAGUUUGUGCAUUAUUUCAUGCAUAGCUAGUUUCCUGAAAUUAGAAGCUUUGUACUUCCACUUACAUCUUUCCUUAAUUAGUUUUGAAUUAUUUAAGCUGUUAGGCUAGAGAGGUUAAAAUGUCUGGGACCAAAGUCUCAGGUGAACUGGAUUUCCUAGAAACCAUCUUGAAUCUACAAUUGAUUGGGAGUGUAGGUAGGUGUUUGGCAGGUUGCAUGUUAGCGUUAAUACGCUACAUCAGAGUAGAUGGUUUUAUGUUUUCAUUUCUUGGUUACUCUUUGUGGUCAGAUGGACACCCAUUUCUCUCCACACCUCUUUCAUGGCCAGGACCCGUGUGAGACACCUCAGACACACUGGUCAAGGAGACUUGGACUUGCUCAGAUUCCCGAGCUGUGCCCCUCCUUGGAUUGUGUCUGAAGAGUCUCUCCCACUCCCCAUAUUCUCUGCCCUCCCUUUUUCUGUUUAUUUCUUCUCUGUCAGUAUAUGGAGAGAAUGACUGGCAGAUUGUAUCUGCAAGGCACUUUUAAUUCCAGAGAACAAACAUGUGGCAAUAAUACCAUAUGGUAUUGAUAAUAUUUUAGUCAGAAUAUUUGGGGCUUAAAAUAUUUAAAUUGUGAGAAUUAAGUAGACAGAAUAUUUAGUUCAGCUAACAUUCUCCUGGUUAUGUGGCAUAGGUUACCAUAUAACCACCGGCUUCCUCGGAAAGAUCUCACCAUAUGAGGAAUCUCCUGAUCUUUUACGUUUAAUCGUAGAACUUCAGACAUACUUUCUGUGAUGUUCUCUCUUCUCUGUUUUUAUUCAAAUGCCUCCUCAACUCCAUAUUCUUAUUUCCUUCUUGGAGUUUUAUUCUUCUUCCUAUUUACAUACUGUAUACACUGAAGAGAUAGAGCAGAAGGAAAGAAACACUUACUUAUUGAGUCUUCUGCUGGGUGAGUCCCUUGUUUGAUAUUGUCCAUCCCAUAAUUUCAUAUAUCUAAUUAUUGUGUUUCUAAGAUGCCACGAUAUGUAUACUUUUUCUAUGAAAAGAAUUCUUAAGAGUCCUAGUGUUCAUGACUCACAAUAAUAAAGGCUUUAUUUCUCCCUCUUGCUCAGGUUUCAAUAACAAAGGUAUUUUUUAUCGUUAUAUAUGUAUAGCUAUAAAACCUAAAUAUCCCUGAGCAAAUCUGGCAUUGAUUUCAUCUAGCAUUAGCUCAAAAUAAUGUGACUCUCUCUUUUUACCCUUAGGACUUAAACACAGGUUUCUUCCUUAUCAAUAUAGGCAUAUAUAUGGGUAUAGAUAGGUAGUUCAUUGUUAGGAUAAAUAAAGUACAAACCACUCAAGUACAGCAUCUCUGUUGUAGCCACAAUUAUUUAUUUUGCCUGGAAAUGAUUGAUCUGAAUUGAAUCAAAGCAUAAGGCAAAUCUUGUUCCUUCAUCACCCAGUAGGUCACAUUACAACCAGUUAACCUUAUUACAGGAGACAGAUAUAUCCUGUAAGGGAAAUGGCUGAAUGUUUUCUCAUGUGUAAGUCAGAACAACACAGUCAUGAGCAUAUAUGCAUUACCUUCCCAUUGAAGGGCAGAAAGGCCAAGGACAUAGUCCGUAAAUAGUAGAACAGAUUCAAAGUCAACCCUAUUUGACUCCAGAUAUAAAUCUUAAAUCCAACUAUACCAUUCAUGAGUUUCACCAUAUUUAUUUCUUUAAAAAUUAGUAAAAUACACAUCACCUAAAAUUUACC